GGGCUUUAGUUAGACCUCUUCCUCGUACCAAUGGACUCAUAAUCCAUUGGUCGAAGGUUCGAGUCCUUCCGGGCCCACCA
RNAcentral lists this transfer RNA (80 nucleotides) under Gammaproteobacteria bacterium. RNAcentral describes it as "tRNA-Met". It matches the Rfam family "tRNA", at positions 9 to 71 of the family's 71-position model. Rfam says of the family: Transfer RNA (tRNA) molecules are approximately 80 nucleotides in length. Their secondary structure includes four short double-helical elements and three loops (D, anti-codon, and T loops). Lineage: Bacteria; Pseudomonadati; Pseudomonadota; Gammaproteobacteria. The record is from RNAcentral.